UGAAAUGCUUUCAGCCUUUCACUCGAGUCCCUGUGCCUGUUUACCAGCACGCAAAAUCAGAAGCUGCAGCAAAACCCACUCGCGAAGAAAAUUCCUUGAAAAUGAUUACUCGCACCGUUCCUUUCCCUUUAUUCCGCGAUUCUCAAUCCAAAAAUCGACGGGGAAAAAGAGCCGAGGACACAAUGAAUGGUUAGCAAGCAGAAUACAUGCAUAUUGUCUCGAUUCACCACACAAUUCAGCUCAAUUUUCUGAAGCUCGAGCAGAACAGUAUCGGGGCGCAAGUUGUUUGAUGAAAUGUCUACUUCAGGAAGCAAGGAUAUUUAUGCAAAUCAGAGUUCCGCAGCUCAAUCCUCAGCUGCAGAGCAGCGCCAUCACCACCGCAGCAGCACUAACAACAAUUCCAGCACGAACAGGGGCGGCCAUUCAGUGAGCAGGGCUGUAGCGCAGUACACCGUGGAUGCGAGACUCCACGCGGUAUUCGAGCAGUCUGAGAAAUCGUUUGAUUAUUCACAGAGCGUUAGAACCGGUAAUCAAUCCGUCUCCGAGCAGCAGAUCACCGCUUAUUUCUCGAAAAUACAGCGCGGAGGCCACAUUCAGCCCUUUGGUUGUAUGAUUGCUGUCGAUGAGCGGAGUUUCUGCGUCAUAGCUUACUCGGAGAAUGCCUGUGAAAUGCUGGCCUUGACGCCUCAGUCAGUCCCAAGUCUUGAAAAGCUGGAAACUUUGACAAUCGGCACUGAUGUUAGGAGCCUUUUCACCCCCUCCAGCUCGAUUUUGCUCGAGAGGGCGUUUGGGGCGCGGGAAAUCACGUUGUUGAAUCCAGUUUGGGUUCAUUCCAAGAAUUCUGGGAAGCCCUUUUAUGCUAUUUUGCAUAGGAUAGAUGUAGGGAUAGUGAUAGAUUUAGAGCCUGCUAGGAAGGAGGACCCUGCUCUUUCCAUAGCUGGAGCUGUACAGUCUCAGAAGCUUGCUGUGAGGGUCAUUUCCCAUUUGCAGUCACUCCCCGGUGGGGACAUUAAGCUUUUGUGUGAUACAGUUGUUGAGUGUUUGAGAGAGCUAACAGGAUUUGAUCGAGUUAUGGUUUAUAAGUUUCAUGAGGAUGAGCAUGGUGAGGUUGUGGCAGAGAGUAAGAGACAUGAUUUGGAUCCAUACCUAGGAUUGCAUUAUCCUUCCACGGAUAUUCCCCAGGCUUCAAGGUUUCUUUUUAAGCAGAAUAGAGUCCGGUUGAUCGUGGACUGUACAGCUAGACCCAUCACGGUUAUUCAGGAUGAAGCACUGAUGCAGCCUUUGUGUUUGGUAGGUUCUACACUGAGGGCUCCUCAUGGUUGCCAUGCCCAGUACAUGGCAUUUAUGGGGUCAGUUGCUUCUUUAACUUUGGCUGUUAUUAUCAAUGGAAAUGAUGAAGAUGGUGUUGGAGGAAGAAACUCAAUGAGGCUAUGGGGAUUGGUUGUUGGUCACCACUCUUCUGCUCGUUAUGUUCCAUUCCCUCUUCGUUAUGCUUGUGAAUUCCUGAUGCAGGCGUUUGGACUUCAACUGAAUAUGGAGUUACAGUUGGCGUCACAGUUGUCUGAGAAGCAUGUUUUAAGGACACAGACUCUAUUGUGCGAUAUGUUACUUCGAGAUUCACCUAGUGGGAUUGUUACACAGAGCCCUAGCAUUAUGGACCUCGUGAAAUGUGAUGGUGCUGCUCUAUACUACCAAGGGAAGUAUUAUCCUCUGGGCGUCACACCUACUGAGGUGCAGAUGAAGGAUAUUCUGCAAUGGUUGCUGGUGUCUCAUGAAGGUUCGACAGGUUUGAGCACUGAUAGUUUAGCUGAUGCAGGGUAUCCUGGGGCAGCCUCUCUAGGCAAUGCUGUAUGUGGAAUGGCUGUUGCGUAUAUCACUUCAAGAGAUUUCUUGUUCUGGUUUCGUUCCCAUACUGCUAAAGAGAUGAAAUGGGGUGGAGCAAAGCAUCAUCCAAAGGAUAAAGAUGAUGGCAUGAGAAUGCAUCCUCGUUCCUCAUUCAACGCGUUUCUAGAAGUUGUCAAGAGCCGCAGUCUACCAUGGGAGAAUGCAGAGAUGGAUGCAAUUCACUCUCUUCAACUAAUUUUGAGAGAGUCAUUUCAGGAUUCUGAUGGAAGCAAUUCUAAGGCAGUUGUAGCAACCCAAGGAGGGGACUUGGAGUUACAAGGGAUUGAUGAACUCAGUUCUGUAGCCAGAGAAAUGGGUAGGUUGAUAGAGACUGCAAGGGCUCCUAUAUUUGCUGUUGACAGUGAAGGCCGCAUAAAUGGGUGGAAUGCAAAAGUUGCUGAGUUGACUGGACUCUCUGUUGAGGAAGCAAUGGGGAAGUCCUUGGUUCAUGAUCUUGUUCACAAAGAAUCGGAAGAAAUGGCUGACAAACUUCUAUUUCAUGCUCUCAUAGGUGAGGAAGAGCAGAAUGUAGAAUUAAAGUUGAGGACAUUUGGUACUGAAACCAGCAAGAAGGCUAUAUUUUUGGUGGUCAAUGCUUGUUCUAGCAAGGAUUAUACAAACAACAUAGUUGGUGUGUGCUUUGUUGGUCAGGAUGUCACCGGUCAGAAAUUUGUGAUGGAUAAGUUUAUCAAUAUUCAAGGUGAUUACAAGGCAAUUAUACACAAUCCGAGUACUCUAAUUCCACCUAUAUUUGCUUCGGAUGAGAAUACAUCUUGCUAUGAGUGGAACACCGCUAUGCAAAAGCUAACUGGGUGGAGUAGGGAGGACAUCAUUGGAAAGAUGUUGGUUGGGGAGAUAUUCGGAAAUUGUUGUCAGCUCAAGGGAUCAGAUGCAUUGACAAAAUUCAUGAUUGUCUUGCACAAUGCACUUGGAGGUCAGGAUACUGACAAGUUCCCGUUUUCUUUUUUUGACCGAAGUGGUAAAUAUGUACAAGCUCUGUUGACUGCCAACAAGAGGGUAAAUACGGAGGGCCAUAUUGUUGGAACCUUUUGUUUCUUGCAAAUUGCAAGUCCUGAGUUGCAACAAGCUAUCAGAGUCCAGAGGCAAAAGGAAAAGAACUGUGUUUUAAAGAUGAAAGAGCUCACUUAUAUUUGUCAGGAAAUAAGAAAUCCAUUAAGUGGUAUACGUUUUGCUAAUUCAGUUCUGGAAAGCACAAAUUUGACUGAAGACCAGAAGCAGUUUCUUGAGACCAGUGCUGCUUGUGAGAGGCAGUUAUUAAAGAUUAUGAAGGAUGUUGAACUUGAAAGAAUUGAGGAUGGUUCAAUGGAGCUUGAGAAUUCUGAGUUUCUACUUGGGAGUGUAAUAGAUGCCGUUGUUAGCCAAGCAAUGUUCUUGCUUAGAGAAAGAGGUAUGCAGUUGAUCCAUGAUAUACCUGAGGAAGUCAAGACACUGGGAGUCUAUGGUGAUCAAUUUAGAAUUCAACAAAUCUUAGCCGAUUUCUUACUGAACAUGGUGCGGUAUGCACCAACCUCAAAAGGUUGGAUAGAAAUGCAACUCAGUCCAAACUUGAAGCAAAUCUCUGAAUCAAUGACCACAGUGCACAUCGAAUUUAGGAUUACGUGUCCAGGCGAAGGUCUUCCUCCUGAACUCGUCCAAGACAUGUUCCAAAAUGGGCGAUGGGCGACUCAGGAAGGCCUAGGAUUAAGCAUGUGCAAGAAACUCUUGAAGCUUAUGAAUGGAGAAGUUCAAUAUAUCAGAGAAUCAGAGAAAUCUUUCUUCCUUAUUGUUCUUGAUCUGCCUAUGUCUAGCAGGGAUUUAAUGAGUAUCGACUGAUCUGGAACGACUACGACCCCACACUCAAUCUCUACAACAAGUCAGAGUCGACUUCUGAGACUUGCACGGCUGGCCCUUGAGGACACACAUCUUCGAGCUUUCACCUGCCAGGGAGAGGAUCAAGAAAGAAGAACGGAGAAUCAUUUUCAGCCAUUCGAUCAUCAAGAUCUACGGUGGAUGCAUCAUAUUGGUGGGUGAAUGUAUGAACAUACGAAUCUAUUUAAUUUGUUGAAAAACACGCCGCCGCCAGGAAUAGAACCCCAGAUCAAACACACGUUCAUAAAAAUUAAUUGACAUUUCAUCAAAAUAUACAACUUAUUCACAUCUA
Molecule: RNA transcript, 4045 nt
Organism: Salvia miltiorrhiza (redroot sage)
Lineage: Eukaryota; Viridiplantae; Streptophyta; Magnoliopsida; Lamiales; Lamiaceae
Gene name: phytochrome B-like
Exons: 5
Source: RefSeq, a predicted model, not a curated record